UUGUUUUCUCAGUCUGCUUCGCUGCAACUUCAAGGAGAUAAGACCUAAUGCAAUCUGCUCCACUACUGCUUAGGGAGAUAAGAUCUAUUGUUUUAAUCCGCUCCACUGUAACUUCAGGGAGAUAGGAUUGAUUUCUUCUGUCUGCUCCACUACUGCUUAGGGAGAUAAGACUUGUAAUUUCCAACCUAUUCCACUGCUUGUCAGAAACAUAGGACUUGUGGCUUAAAUCUGUUUCCCUACUCCUGGGGAAGAUAAGAUUCGCC
This 263-nucleotide long non-coding RNA is filed under the name Gossypium barbadense (sea-island cotton). Its description in RNAcentral is "long non-coding RNA (GBAR_LNC017897)". Lineage: Eukaryota; Viridiplantae; Streptophyta; Magnoliopsida; Malvales; Malvaceae. The record is from RNAcentral.